Molecule: ribosomal RNA, 458 nt
Filed under: uncultured bacterium
Lineage: Bacteria
Description: bacterial SSU rRNA
Rfam family: Bacterial small subunit ribosomal RNA
Source: RNAcentral
AACGAACGCUGGCGGCAUGCCUAACACAUGCAAGUCGAACGAAGGCUUCGGCCUUAGUGGCGCACGGGUGCGUAACGCGUGGGAACCAGCCCCUCGGUUCGGAAUAACAGUUAGAAAUGACUGCUAAUACCGGAUGAUGACUUCGGUCCAAAGAUUUAUCGCCGAGGGAUGGGCCCGCGUAGGAUUAGCUAGUUGGUGGGGUAAAGGCCUACCAAGGCGACGAUCCUUAGCUGGUCUGAGAGGAUGAUCAGCCACACUGGGACUGAGACACGGCCCAGACUCCUACGGGAGGCAGCAGUGGGGAAUAUUGGACAAUGGGCGAAAGCCUGAUCCAGCAAUGCCGCGUGAGUGAUGAAGGCCUUAGGGUUGUAAAGCUCUUUUACCAGGGAUGAUAAUGACAGUACCUGGAGAUAAGCUCCGGCUAACUCCGUGCCAGCAGACGCGGUAAAGUAGUCGUG